RNAcentral lists this unclassified non-coding RNA (300 nucleotides) under uncultured Disciseda. RNAcentral's name for it is "sequence contains 5.8S rRNA gene, ITS2". The stretch from base 1 to 71 matches the Rfam family "5.8S ribosomal RNA", at positions 84 to 154 of the family's 154-position model. The record is from RNAcentral. Lineage: Eukaryota; Fungi; Basidiomycota; Agaricomycetes; Agaricales; Lycoperdaceae.
GUGAGUCAUCGAAUCUUUGAACGCACCUUGCGCUCCUUGGUAUUCCGAGGAGCAUGCCUGUUUGAGUGUCAUUAAAUUCUCAACCCCUCCAGCUUUUGCGAGUUGUGACGGGCUUGGAUGUUGGGGGUUUGCGGGCCUGUAAAGGUCGGCUCUCCUGAAAUGUAUUAGCGGAACCGUUUGCAGUCCCGUCACUAGUGUGAUAAUUAUCUACACUGUGAUGAUUGCUCUCUGGCUAGUUCAGCUACUAACCGUCCACUGUUGGACAACACUUAAUGAACUUCUUGACCUCAAAUCAGGUAG